UACGGAGGGUGCAAGCGUUAAUCGGAUUUAUUGGGCGUAAAGGGCGCGUAGGCUGGUAAAUAAGUCAGGUGUGAAAUUCUGAGGCUUAACCUCAGAGCUGCAUUUGAAACUAUUUGUCUAGAGGGUAGGCGGAGAAAACGGAAUUCCACAAGUAGCGGUGAAAUGCGUAGAUAUGUGGAAGAACACCGGUGGCGAAGGCGGUUUUCUAGCUUACUCCUGACGCUGAGGCGCGAAAGUUAGGGGAUCAAACAGG
RNAcentral lists this ribosomal RNA (253 nucleotides) under uncultured bacterium. RNAcentral's name for it is "partial 16S ribosomal RNA". It matches the Rfam family "Bacterial small subunit ribosomal RNA", at positions 524 to 776 of the family's 1533-position model. The record is from RNAcentral.